UACGUAGGGCGCAAGCGUUGUCCGGAAUUAUUGGGCGUAAAGAGCUCGUAGGCGGCCAGUUGCGUCUGCUGUGAAAUCCCGGGGCUCAACCCCGGGCGUGCAGUGGAUACGGGCUGGCUAGAGGCAGGCAGGGGAGAACGGAAUUCCCGGUGUAGCGGUGAAAUGCGCAGAUAUCGGGAGGAACACCGGUGGCGAAGGCGGUUCUCUGGGCCUUACCUGACGCUCAGGUGCGAAAGCUAGGGGAGCGAACCAGGAGUUAGAAA
This 263-nucleotide ribosomal RNA is filed under the name uncultured bacterium. RNAcentral describes it as "partial 16S ribosomal RNA". It matches the Rfam family "Bacterial small subunit ribosomal RNA", at positions 524 to 784 of the family's 1533-position model. The record is from RNAcentral.